RNAcentral lists this long non-coding RNA (233 nucleotides) under Brassica napus (rape). RNAcentral's name for it is "long non-coding RNA (BNAP_LNC007785)". The record is from RNAcentral. Lineage: Eukaryota; Viridiplantae; Streptophyta; Magnoliopsida; Brassicales; Brassicaceae.
AAGAACUUGCUCUCUUUAUUGAAUGCCUUAGAAAAUAUGCUCAAAACUAAAACACUCCUCUAUCGUUAUAUCAAUACCACAACUCGGUAUGUAUAUAUAUAUUAGAGUAGAUUUCCUUUUCCUAAUAGUUAUAGAUAACUCCUAAGACUACUAGGUUUAUCUUAAGCUUGUCUUAUCCUUAUCCAACUUGAUAAAGGAUAUCUUGAGCUUCAAGCUAUCAAAGCUUACCCAAC